UCCCCGAUAGCUCAAUGGUAGAGCAGAUUCCUGUUAAGAAUAAGGUUCGAGGUUCGAAUCCUCGUCGGGGAGCCA
This 75-nucleotide transfer RNA is filed under the name Candidatus Roizmanbacteria bacterium. RNAcentral's name for it is "tRNA-Asn". It matches the Rfam family "tRNA". From Rfam's summary of the family: Transfer RNA (tRNA) molecules are approximately 80 nucleotides in length. Their secondary structure includes four short double-helical elements and three loops (D, anti-codon, and T loops). The record is from RNAcentral. Lineage: Bacteria; Candidatus Roizmaniibacteriota.